Molecule: ribosomal RNA, 381 nt
Filed under: uncultured eukaryote
Lineage: Eukaryota
Description: SSU rRNA
Rfam family: Eukaryotic small subunit ribosomal RNA
Source: RNAcentral
AGCUCCAAUAGCGUAUAUUAAAGUUGUUGCGGUUAAAAAGCUCGUAGUUGGAUUUCUGUCGAGGGCGGGCGGUCCGCACUAUGUGCGUGUAUCUUGUCCGGUCUUGGCAUCCUCUUGGGGAACGCUUCUGUGCUUGAUUGCAUGGGGUGGAAUUCAAGACUUUUACUUUGAGGAAAUUAGAGUGUUCACGGCAAGCUACCGCUUUGAAUACAUUAGCAUGGAAUAAUAAUAUAGGGCAUAAGUUCUAUUUUGUUGGUUUCUAGGACAUAUGCAAUGAUUAAUAGGGACAAUUGGGGGCAUUCGUACUAACACGUCAGAGGUGGAAUUCUUAGAUUGUGUUAUGACGAACUACUGCGAAAGCAUUUGCCAAAGAUGUUUUCA